Molecule: ribosomal RNA, 704 nt
Filed under: Dryocoetiops coffeae
Lineage: Eukaryota; Metazoa; Arthropoda; Insecta; Coleoptera; Curculionidae
Description: eukaryotic LSU rRNA
Rfam family: Eukaryotic large subunit ribosomal RNA
Source: RNAcentral
CGUUUAGGGGUAAACCUGAGAAACCCGAAAGGUCGAAGGGAGAAAUUCAUUCGCGUUUCGACGGAGGCGUGGGACGGGGUCGAGCGACGGGACGCGUUCUUCGGAACGGGUCUCGCGCCCUCCGUCCUUCGAACCGACGGCGAACGCGUGCACUUUUCUCCUGGUAGGACGUCGCGAUCCGUCGGGCGUCGGUCUACGGCUCGCGGCGGAGCCCGUCCGUCUCGUCUCUCGUACGUGCGGACGGACCCGCGAGAUUUCCCGGCCGACUCGCUCGACGGUAUACCGUAAGGUCGGAGGCCGCUCGUUUUUUUAGGAGCGUUCGACUCGUCGCAAGCGCGCCACGUGCGUCGGCACGCGGACCCGGUGCCGCGUCCGACCUCUGGCGACUGUUGGCGACGAAGUUCUCGGACAGACCUCUUUUUUUUCGAAGACCGAUCGGCGACGCUAUAGCUUUGGGUACUUUCAGGACCCGUCUUGAAACACGGACCAAGGAGUCUAGCAUGUGCGCGAGUCAUUGGGAUUUACGCGAAACCUAAAGGCGUAAUGAAAGUGAAGGUCUUCCUCGCGAAGACCGAGGGAAGACGGACGGUUUUUGUUGUUCAAACCGCCGUCCCGCAUUCCCGGGGCGUCUCGUUCACAUCGCGUGAAGAGGCGCACCAAGAGCGUACACGCUGGGACCCGAAAGAUGGUGAACUAUGCCUGGU